This 81-nucleotide transfer RNA is filed under the name Helianthus annuus (common sunflower). RNAcentral's name for it is "tRNA HanXRQr2_Chr13g0618481". The record is from RNAcentral. Lineage: Eukaryota; Viridiplantae; Streptophyta; Magnoliopsida; Asterales; Asteraceae.
GGCAUUAUAGCCUAGUGGUAUCUUGGUGGUAUGCUAAGAUUUAUGAUCAUUAGGUCAUGGGUUCAAUUCCCAGAAAUGGGG